This 1241-nucleotide ribosomal RNA is filed under the name metagenome. Its description in RNAcentral is "bacterial SSU rRNA". It matches the Rfam family "Bacterial small subunit ribosomal RNA", at positions 8 to 1210 of the family's 1533-position model. The record is from RNAcentral.
AGAGUUUGAUCCCAGCUCAGGAUGAACGCUAGCGGUGCGCUUAACACAUGCAAGUCGUGCGAUCGAACCAGACGGAUUUUCCUUCGGGAACUGAAGAUUGGUCACGGAGCGGCGAACUGGUGAGUAACACGUAGCUAACCUGCCCUCUUGACGGGGACAACCUACCGAAAGGGAGGCUAAUACCCGAUAUUGUGCGGAGUUGAUGACUUCGUACCAAAGACGGUCCUGCCGUCACAAGAGGAGGGGGCUGCGUCCUAUUAGCUUGUUGGUAGGGUAAUGGCCUACCAAGGCGAUAAUGGGUAGCUGGUCUGAGAGGAUGCUCAGCCACAUUGGGACUGAGAUACGGCCCAGACUCCUACGGGAGGCAGCAGUGGGGAAUAUUGGACAAUGGACGAAAGUCCGAUCCAGCGACACCGCGUGGGGGAUGAAGGCUUUCGGGUCGUAAACUCCUUUUCUGGGGGAAGAAUAAGGUCAGGAGGAAAUGCCUGUCCGAUGACGGUACUCCAGGAAUAAGCAUCGGCAAACUUCGUGCCAGCAGCCGCGGUAAGACGAGGGAUGCAAGCGUUAUCCGGAAUUACUGGGCGUAAAGGACGUCUAGGCGGUUGGAUAAGUCAUUUGUGAAAUCCCAGGGCUUAACCCUGGAAGGUCUUGUGAUACUGUCCAGCUUGGGUGUAGGAGAGGAGAGCGGAACUCACAGAGUAGCGGUGGAAUGCGUAGAUACUGUGAGGUACCCCGAUGGCGAAGGCAGCUCUCUGGCCUAUUACCGACGCUGAAGCGUGAAAGCGUGGGGGGCAAAGGGGAUUAGAUACCCCCGUAGUCCACGCCCCAAACGAUGUUCACUUGGUGUCGGGAGCCUAUAUAUCUCGGUGCCGGAGCUAACGCGUUAAGUGAACCGCCUGAGGAGUACGGCCGCAAGGCUAAAACUCAAGAGAAUUGACGGGUCCCCGCACAAGCGGUGGAGCACGUGGUUUAAUUCGAUAUAAGCGAAGAACCUCACCUGGGCUUGACAUACUAGUGGUAAGAACCGGAAACGGUGAUGACCCUACCUUCGGGUAGGGAGCUAAUACAGGUGAUGCAUGGCUGUCGUCAGCUCGUGUCGUGGGAUGUAGGGUUAAGUCCCGAAACGAGCGCAACCCUUGUCACUAGUUGCCAGCGGAUAAUGCCGGGACUCUAGUGAGACUGCUGGUGAAUAGCCGGAGGAAGGCGGGGAUGACGUCAAGUCAUCAUGUCCCUUAUGCCCA